CUGGGUCCACCUCCCACCCGUGUCUAUCGUACCUUGUUGCUUCGGCGGGCCCGCCGUUUCGACGGCCGCCGGGGAGGCCUUGCGCCCCCGGGCCCGCGCCCGCCGAAGACCCCAACAUGAACGCUGUUCUGAAAGUAUGCAGUCUGAGUUGAUUAUCGUAAUCAGUUAAAACUUUCAACAACGGAUCUCUUGGUUCCGGCAUCGAUGAAGAACGCAGCGAAAUGCGAUAAGUAAUGUGAAUUGCAGAAUUCAGUGAAUCAUCGAGUCUUUGAACGCACAUUGCGCCCCCUGGUAUUCCGGGGGGCAUGCCUGUCCGAGCGUCAUUGCUGCCCUCAAGCACGGCUUGUGUGUUGGGCCCCCGUCCCCCUCUCCCGGGGGACGGGCCCGAAAGGCAGCGGCGGCACCGCGUCCGGUCCUCGAGCGUAUGGGGCUUUGUCACCUGCUCUGUAGGCCCGGCCGGCGCCAGCCGACACGCAACUUUAUUUUUCUAAGGAUGACCUCCGAUCAGGUAGGGAUACCCGCUGAACUUAAGCAUAUCAUAAGCGGAG
This 548-nucleotide ribosomal RNA is filed under the name Aspergillus fumigatus. RNAcentral's name for it is "eukaryotic LSU rRNA". The stretch from base 170 to 323 matches the Rfam family "5.8S ribosomal RNA". Lineage: Eukaryota; Fungi; Ascomycota; Eurotiomycetes; Eurotiales; Aspergillaceae. The record is from RNAcentral.